AAAAUCAAACUUUUUUUUUUCUUAGCUGUAAAAUCAAAAGGUUGUUUUGGGUGUUAAAAAGAGUACAAAUUAAUAUAUUAACUUUUCACAAGUCUUAGAACAUUCUAGGUGGAAGGGAGGUAUCUUUUCCUCCUUCGCAUGUAGAUUCACAUGAAAAUAUGCCAAAUGUUCCCCAUAUUUGAGAACAUGGCCAGAGAAAUCAUAUUUUCUUCCCUUGAUAUGAAACUGUGCUGAUCAGAUUUGGUUACUUCCUCUGUCAAGCACCAAAGGGGCCUUCUUUUAUAAGAACCUAAACAAGCAUAUGAGCCACCUUACUAUCCAAGACAAGAGGACAAAAGACCAUGCAUGGAAAUUUGAACCCUUUCAUCUCCAGAACUCUUAUGAGAGUGAAGACUGAGUAGAAAUACUCAAAUUGUAUUUAAGGAAAUUCCGAGUUCAGAUCAAUCUUAUGUCUCAGAGGAAAUUCCGGGAACUAAAAGAAGAAUAGAUAUGCAACCACUUGGUAGGUGUUUAUUAUUUAUCAUUCCCUUGUAUUUCCAUCUGUUUA
RNAcentral lists this long non-coding RNA (547 nucleotides) under Monodelphis domestica (gray short-tailed opossum). RNAcentral's name for it is "lncRNA (ENSMODG00000040589.1)". The record is from RNAcentral. Lineage: Eukaryota; Metazoa; Chordata; Mammalia; Didelphimorphia; Didelphidae.